AAAGAUUAAGCCAUGCAUGUAUAAGUUUAAUCGUAUUUACGAGAAACCGCGAACGGCUCAUUACAAUGGCCAUGAUUUACUUGAUCUUGAUAAUCCUAAAUGGACAACUGUGGAAAAGCUAGAGCUAAUACAUGCACUAAAGCUUUGUCCUUACGGAAAAGCGCAUUUAUUAGAACAAAACCAAGCGGCUUCGGCUGCUUCUUGUUGACUCAGAAUAACUAAGCUGACCGCAUGGCCAAGUGCCGGCGGCGAAUCUUUCAAGCGUCCACUUUAUCAACUUGACGGGAGCAUAAUCGACUCCCGUGGUGGUGACGGAUAACGGAGGAUCAGGGUUCGACUCCGGAGAAGGGGCCUGAGAAAUGGCCACUACGUCUAAGGAUGGCAGCAGGCGCGCAAAUUACCCACUCUCGGCUCGAGGAGGUAGUGACGAGAAAUAACGAGGUCGUUCUCAAAUGAGGCCGGUCAUCGGAAUGGGUACAAUUUAAACCCUUUAACGAGUAUCAAGCAGAGGGCAAGUCUGGUGCCAGCAGCCGCGGUAAUUCCAGCUCUGCUAAUACAUAGAAUUAUUGCUGCGGUUAAAAAGCUCGUAGUUGGAUUCGUGUCGAUACCCUGGAACCCUUCGGGUGUCUCUAGGUGUUAUCGAUUUAUCGUAAUGUUCGGUCUUGAGUCCUUAACAGGAUUCCUGACAGGCGUUACAAGUUUACUUUGAACAAAUCAGAGUGCUUCAAACAGGCGUUUAGCUUGAAUGAUCGUGCAUGGAAUAAUAGAAUACGAUUUCGGUUCAGUUUUAUUGGUUUUACGGACUGAGAUAAUGGUUAACAGAGACAAACGGGGGCAUUUGUAUGGCCCCGUGAGAGGUGAAAUUCUUGGACCGUGGCCAGACAAACUACAGCGAAAGCAUUUGCCAAGAAUG
RNAcentral lists this ribosomal RNA (913 nucleotides) under Meloidogyne hapla. Its description in RNAcentral is "SSU rRNA". It matches the Rfam family "Eukaryotic small subunit ribosomal RNA", at positions 39 to 966 of the family's 1831-position model. The record is from RNAcentral. Lineage: Eukaryota; Metazoa; Nematoda; Chromadorea; Rhabditida; Meloidogynidae.